UACAGAGGGUGCUAGCGUUGCUCGGAAUCACUGGGCGUAAAGCGCACGUAGGCGGCUUUUUAAGUCAGGGGUGAAAUCCUGGAGCUCAACUCCAGAACUGCCUUUGAUACUGAGAAGCUUGAGUCCGGGAGAGGUGAGUGGAACUGCGAGUGUAGAGGUGAAAUUCGUAGAUAUUCGCAAGAACACCAGUGGCGAAGGCGGCUCACUGGCCCGGUACUGACGCUGAGGUGCGAAAGCGUGGGGAGCAAACAGG
Molecule: ribosomal RNA, 253 nt
Filed under: uncultured bacterium
Lineage: Bacteria
Description: partial 16S ribosomal RNA
Rfam family: Bacterial small subunit ribosomal RNA
Source: RNAcentral